AGUCGAACGGUAACAGGUCUUCGGAUGCUGACGAGUGGCGAACGGGUGAGUAAUACAUCGGAACGUGCCUAAUAGUGGGGGAUAACUACUCGAAAGCAUUAGCUAAUACCGCAUGAGAUCUACGGAUGAAAGCAGGGGACCUUCGGGGCCUUGCUGCUCACCUAGAGCGGCUGAUGGCAGACUAGGUAGUUGCUGGGAUAAAGGCUUACCAAGCCUGCGAUCUGUAGCUGGUCUGAGAGGACGACCAGCCACACUGGGACUGAGACACGGCCCAGACUCCUACGGGAGGCAGCAGUGGGGAAUUUUGGACAAUGGGCGAAAGCCUGAUCCAGCAAUGCCGCGUGCAGGAUGAAGGCCUUCGGGUUGUAAACUGCUUUUGUACGGGACGAAAAGCCUGGGGCUAAUAUCCCCGGUGUCAUGACGGUACCGUAAGAAUAAGCACCGGCUAACUACGUGCCGGCAGCCGCGGUAAUACGUAGGAUGCAAGCGUUAAUCGGAAUUACUGGGCGUAAAGCGUGCGCAGGCGGUUAUGUAAGACAGUGGUGAAAUCCCCGGGCUCAACCUGGGAACUGCCAUUGUGACUGCAAGGCUAGAGUGCGGCAGAGGGGGAUGGAAUUCCGCGUGUAGCAGUGAAAUGCGUAGAUAUGCGGAGGAACACCGAUGGCGAAG
This 669-nucleotide ribosomal RNA is filed under the name uncultured beta proteobacterium. RNAcentral's name for it is "bacterial SSU rRNA". It matches the Rfam family "Bacterial small subunit ribosomal RNA", at positions 60 to 720 of the family's 1533-position model. The record is from RNAcentral. Lineage: Bacteria; Pseudomonadati; Pseudomonadota; Betaproteobacteria.